CUCGAGAAUCUGCUUCCCCGCGGCGCGACGGAGUUGUUUAAGUAUCAGGUGCUGGUUGAUCAUCUGCGCCUGGAGGAUGCGAAGCUGAUCGCCGAUGCUUACCUCCACUCUCCUACCCCCUUCACUGACACGAUGACUGCUUUGAACGAGAAGUAUGGCCAACCGCACCAGAUAGCCCUGAGACGCAUCGCUGCAGUGAUGGACUCACCAGACAUCCGACGCGGGGAUCUCAUAGCAUUUGAGAGGUUUGCACUCCACAUACAGUCGCUCGUGGGGAUGUUAAGUACCCUGGGCACUGAGGGAGAAGUGGAGUUACGGUGUGGCUCCCAUGUGGCUCGCCUGCUGAGUAAGCUGCCACCGGAGCAACGGGCGGAAUUCCGGCGCUGUAUGUUCCACCGGGGCACGCGUACCCACACCUUGACUGAUUUUGCAGAGUGGCUGAAAUACGAGUCAUGGUGCCAGGAUGCUGACGGACAGGUAGCGGCGAGAGGAGUGAAGGAGAGACCGGUGGCCAAGACUGAAGUCCGGUCGAGCAGGCGGGUCACCACGGUGCUCCAUGGAGCCAAUGAAAGCGAGAAGCGACCUGAGACUUCGUCGCCAGGGAGGUCCUCGAGAGCCAACCGGACCAAACCCUACUGUCCGUACUGCAAUAACGAGGACCACUACCUUAGUCAGUGUGGAGCGGUAUCCAGGCUGACUACGGACCAGCUAACCGACUGGAUAAGGAGAAAUAAGAGGUGUUGGCGCUGUGCCCGGUCGCAUCAAGCGGCACAAUGCAACCUGAGGAAGCCCUGCAACCUAUGUCAAGGAAAACACCUCCGGGUGCUGCAUGAGGUGAACGCAAAGUCAUCGAAGGAGGCACGAACGCUUCAGUCAGUGGAGACCCACGGCGGCAGGCCAACAACGGAGGUGCUUUACCUGGACAGACCCACCGAGGGAAGCCGGGUGCUGCUGAAGGUCGUCCAGGUCCGACUCCAUCAUGGCAACCGGACUCUCAACACCUAC
Molecule: long non-coding RNA, 1005 nt
Filed under: Salarias fasciatus (jewelled blenny)
Lineage: Eukaryota; Metazoa; Chordata; Actinopteri; Blenniiformes; Blenniidae
Description: lncRNA (ENSSFAG00005002023.1)
Source: RNAcentral